AAUCAGCAGAAAAUCUCUCAGAAUGUUCGGGUGAAGAAAAUACACUCAGAUAUCAUGACGAAAAACUCGGAAAAGCAUCCGAUCUAGGUCAGAAGCAUCAUUGACCAUAAGGUCUCAGAAAAAUCCCCAAAAAAUCUCAAAAAGAGUUCAACCAAGACAACGAGAUGUAGAGAAAAGUAGUUGGAUCGUCGUCUAGGCUCUGAUACCAUGUUAACAUUCAGAUUAAACCAAAAAAUCAUGAAGAAUGUAGAGAGAAGGAGGAGCGUUUCAGAGAAGGCUCGGGAAUCCAGAGAGUUUUAUUAAGUGAAAUGAGAUUAAAA
RNAcentral lists this long non-coding RNA (320 nucleotides) under Nicotiana benthamiana. RNAcentral's name for it is "long non-coding RNA (NBEN_LNC019424)". Lineage: Eukaryota; Viridiplantae; Streptophyta; Magnoliopsida; Solanales; Solanaceae. The record is from RNAcentral.